Molecule: long non-coding RNA, 3357 nt
Organism: Oncorhynchus keta (chum salmon)
Lineage: Eukaryota; Metazoa; Chordata; Actinopteri; Salmoniformes; Salmonidae
Exons: 3
Source: RefSeq, a predicted model, not a curated record
CACAACACGUCUAUGAGAUGUAAAACACAACACGUCUAUGAGAUGUAAAACACAACACGUCUAUGAGAUGUAAAACACAACACGUCUAUGAGAUGUAAAACACAACACGUCUAUGAGAUGUAAAACACAACACGUCUAUGAGAUGUAAAACACAACACAUCUAGGAGAUGUAAAACAACACAUCUAGGAGAUGUAAAACACAACACAUCUAGGAGAUGUAAAACAACACAUCUAGGAGAUAUGAAACAACACAUCUAGGUGAUGUAAAACAACACAUCUAGGUGAUGUAAAACAACACAUCUAGGAGAUGUAAAACACAACACAUCUAGGAGAUGUAAAACAACACAUCUAGGAGAUGUAAAACACAACACAUCUAGGAGAUGUAAAACAACACAUCUAGGAGAUAUAAAACAACACAUCUAGGAGAUAUAAAACACAACACAUCUAUGAGAUGUAAAACACAACACAUCUAGGAGAUGUAAAACACAACACAUCUAGGAGAUGUAAAACAACACAUCUAGGAGAUAUAAAACAACACAUCUAGGUGAUGUAAAACACAACACAUCUAGGAGAUGUAAAACACAACACAUCUAGGAGAUGUAAAACACAACACAUCUAGGAGAUGUAAAACAACACAUCUAGGAGAUGUAAAACAACACAUCUAGGAGAUAUAAAACAACACAUCUAGGUGAUGUAAAACAACACAUCUAGGUGAUGUAAAACAACACAUCUAGGUGAUGUAAAACAACACAUCUAGGAGAUAUAAAACAACACAUCUAGGUGAUGUAAAACAACACAUCUAGGUGAUGUAAAACAACACAUCUAGGAGAUGUAAAACACAACACAUCUAGGAGAUGUAAAACAAUACAUCUAGGAGAUAUAAAACAACACAUCUAGGAGAUAUAAAACACAACACAUCUAUGAGAUGUAAAACACAACACAUCUAGGAGAUGUAAAACACAACACAUCUAGGAGAUGUAAAACAACACAUCUAGGUGAUGUAAAACACAACACAUCUAGGAGAUGUAAAACACAACACAUCUAGGAGAUGUAAAACACAACACAUCUAGGAGAUGUAAAACAACACAUCUAGGAGAUGUAAAACAACACAUCUAGGAGAUAUAAAACAACACAUCUAGGUGAUGUAAAACAACACAUCUAGGUGAUGUAAAACAACACAUCUAGGAGAUAUAAAACAACACAUCUAGGUGAUGUAAAACAACACAUCUAGGUGAUGUAAAACAACACAUCUAGGAGAUAUAAAACACAACACGUCUAUGAGAUGUAAAACACAACACGUCUAUGAGAUGUAAAACACAACACGUCUAUGAGAUGUAAAACACAACACGUCUAUGAGAUGUAAAACACAACACGUCUAUGAGAUGUAAAACACAACACGUCUAUGAGAUGUAAAACACAACACAUCUAUGAGAUGUAAAACACAACACGUCUAUGAGAUGUAAAACACAACACAUCUAGGAGAUGUAAAACACAACACAUCUAGGAGAUGUAAAACACAACACAUCUAGGAGAUGUAAAACAACACAUCUAGGUGAUGUAAAACAACACAUCUAGGAGAUGUAAAACAACACAUCUAGGAGAUGUAAAACACAACACAUCUAGGAGAUGUAAAACAACACAUCUAGGAGAUGUAAAACACCACAUCUAGGAGAUAUAAAACACGUCUAUGAGAUAUAAAACACAACACGUCUAUGAGAUGUAAAACACAACACGUCUAUGAGAUGUAAAACACAACACGUCUAUGAGAUGUAAAACACAACACGUCUAUGAGAUGUAAAACACAACACGUCUAUGAGAUGUAAAACACAACACGUCUAUGAGAUGUAAAACACAACACGUCUAUGAGAUGUAAAACACAACACAUCUAGGAGAUGUAAAACAACACAUCUAGGAGAUGUAAAACACAACACAUCUAGGAGAUGUAAAACAACACAUCUAGGUGAUGUAAAACAACACAUCUAGGUGAUGUAAAACAACACAUCUAGGUGAUGUAAAACAACACAUCUAGGAGAUGUAAAACAACACAUCUAGGAGAUGUAAAACACAACACAUCUAGGAGAUGUAAAACAACACAUCUAGGAGAUAUAAAACAACACAUCUAGGAGAUAUAAAACACAACACAUCUAUGAGAUGUAAAACACAACACAUCUAGGAGAUGUAAAACACAACACAUCUAGGAGAUGUAAAACAACACAUCUAGGAGAUAUAAAACAACACAUCUAGGUGGUGUAAAACACAACACAUCUAGGAGAUGUAAAACACAACACAUCUAGGAGAUGUAAAACACAACACAUCUAGGAGAUGUAAAACACAACACAUCUAGGAGAUGUAAAACAACACAUCUAGGAGAUAUAAAACAACACAUCUAGGAGAUAUAAAACACAACACAUCUAGGAGAUGUAAAACACAACACAUCUAGGAGAUGUAAAACACAACACAUCUAGGUGAUGUAAAACAACACAUCUAGGAGAUGUAAAACACAACACAUCUAGGAGAUGUAAAACACAACACGUCUAUGAGAUGUAAAACACAACACGUCUAUGAGAUGUAAAACACAACACGUCUAUGAGAUGUAAAACACAACACGUCUAUGAGAUGUAAAACACAACACGUCUAUGAGAUGUAAAACACAACACGUCUAUGAGAUGUAAAACACAACACGUCUAUGAGAUGUAAAACACAACACGUCUAUGAGAUGUAAAACACAACACAUCUAGGAGAUGUAAAACACAACACAUCUAGGAGAUGUAAAACAACACAUCUAGGAGAUAUAAAACAACACAUCUAGGUGAUGUAAAACAACACAUCUAGGUGAUGUAAAACAACACAUCUAGGAGAUAUAAAACAACACAUCUAGGUGAUGUAAAACAACACAUCUAGGUGAUGUAAAACAACACAUCUAGGAGAUGUAAAACACAACACAUCUAGGAGAUGUAAAACAACACAUCUAGGAGAUAUAAAACAACACAUCUAGGAGAUGUAAAACACAACACAUCUAGGAGAUGUAAAACACAACACAUCUAGGAGAUGUAAAACACAACACAUCUAGGAGAUGUAAAACAACACAUCUAGGAGAUAUAAAACAACACAUCUAGGUGAUGUAAAACAACACAUCUAGGUGAUGUAAAACAACACAUCUAGGAGAUGUAAAACACAACACAUCUAGGAGAUGUAAAACAACACAUCUAGGAGAUAUAAAACAACACAUCUAGGAGAUGUAAAACACAACACAUCUAGGAGAUGUAAAACACAACACAUCUAGGAGAUGUAAAACAACACAUCUAGGAGAUAUAAAACAACACAUCUAGGUGAUGUAAAACAACACAUCUAGGUGAU